UUUUUUUUUUUUUUGAGGGGCAAAAGGGAUUUUAUUCAUUAAUAACAUAGUGCGGAAUACAGACGAUAUUGGGUGUAAUCCCUAAUCACAAGUGGUGCCCGACUGCCAGAGAAGUAGCAGCCUUAACCAAAGCAUGAGCUUCAUAGUUCGACUUACAAAAUUCAAAAGAAAACUUAACAGACUCAAGAUCAUUCACCCGAUCCUUUAUCUCGUGCAAGACCAGACCAUACACAGGCGCUCCACCCUUGUUGAUGUUGUUCAAAACCUCUAGGCAGUCCGAGGCCACCUGAACUCUCCGCAAAUUCAGAUCUUUGGCUAGCGCUAAAGCUUCAUUUCAUGCUUGUGCUUCCAGACUUGGUGGAUCCACUAGGCCAUCAAAAACAAUUGCAGAAGCUCCCAAAAAAGCUCUUGUUUCAUCUCUGCAUAUAACAGCCGCUGCUCCUCGUGCUUCAUUCCUCGAGACCCCACCAUCUACAUUCAUCUUCGCGUUACCAGUGGCCGGUUUUAGCCAUCUGCUUGUCCUCGAGUCUGCCUGGUAGUUGUUUGGAUUGUGUCCUGGGAGAAAAAGUCUCUACCUGGCCUGGUUGUCCCACCUUUGAUUAGCAUGGUGAAGAUUGAAAAAACCAAAGAAAAUGAUAUGCUUAGCCCAGGCAUGGUGGUUAGCCUGGCCCAGGCGUCUCAUCCCAUCCGCCUGAGUGUGCAUCAACUAGCCUGGCACUCAUUAGUACAGAUUGCUUUUUACAUAAAAUAUCUAUAUCUAUACUUCUAUAUUUAUAUCUAUAUCUAUAUCUAUAUCUAUAUCUAUAUCUAUAUGUAUACCUACUAAUAAAGCAAGGUGUGUUUCUUCGCUUUUUUUCAUCCGUUCACCAACGAAAAGAUUUUUCUUUUAUCCGAGGUGAUACUAAAUUUUUGUGCUUUCGUGUGCUAGAAAAGAAAAACGGCUUGUCCAGAUUUUGUACCUGGGCCGGGCGUUGAGGCCCAGUGCAGCAAGGCCACUUAUUUUCCUACGCACACAGCUGACAGAACCCUAUUUACCGCACAGAGCUUCAAAUACCCAAAGUUUCGCACAAGUCCCCCAAUACUGGGCCGGCCAAUUUUCGUUUUAUCCUAUAUUCUGGCUUUUUUUCUCUUUCGUUUUCUUUUUAUUUCCUAAUUAUUUUUAUGUUUUACUCUUCCAAGUUUAAUUUCGUUUUUUUUCUUUUCUAAUAAAUUCGAAAUUUUCAAAAAAACCUCAUAAUUUCAAUUUUUGGUUCAAGUUUUCGAUAAAUAUUCGAAUGUCUCAAAAAACAAUUGUUCUAUAAAAGUUCAAAACUUUGUUUUUGUUCUGAAUUUUGUUCAAAAUAAAACAAAAGUUCCAAUUUUUCAAAAAAAAUUAUAUAUUUUAUGCAAUUAUUGACAAUUUCCAAUGUUUCUUUUUGCAUUUAGAAAAAUGUUUCAAAUUUGAAAAUGUUUUUUUGUGAAAUGGUUACGAAAUUAAAAUAAUUUUCUUAAUUGAAAAAACAUUUUCAAAAACUUUCUGAAUGUUCAAAACAUGUUACCAUUUAAAAACAAUUGUUCACUAAUUCAAAAAAUGUUCAGUUUAUUAUAAAAGGUUCAUGUUUUCAGAAUUUUUUUGUGAAUUUAGGAAAAUAUAUUCCAAUUUAAAAUUUUGCUCAUGUCUUUUGGGAAUAUUCAGAAUUUUCAAAAACUGUUUGAAUUUUCAAAAAAUGUUCAUGUUUCAAAAAUAUACGCAAAUUCAUUGUUAUUUUCUGUGAUAGGUUUGAAAAAAGUUAAAAAUAUGUUUCAAAUCUAAUGCUGCAUUACGUUCUUACAUAUCCGUGCUUGCCAUUGGUCAAUAGAACGUGUUUGUUCAACUAGCUAGCAGCAUGUCAUUGAGUCUUUGAUUUAUGCGCUGCAAUUAGUAAUACAUUUGGUUACGCCGUGAUAGGAGACGCCGACCAAACCCACCACUAUCAGGAUCUCGUCGGCCAAACAUGACCCACGACAAGAUCGCGGCUCCUAGCUCUGUCGGCCACCGUUACGGAGACUAUUUUUGGUGGACAUAUUAUUUUUCUCGCAUUGCUUGUCAUAAUAAAUAUCUCCCGUUACAACACGGGCAUAUGCGCUAGUUCUAAUCCUAAAGGACAAAGCUGCAGGCCCAGGGUGAAAACCAAACACUCCGAUGCCAGGCUAGCCUGUGCAGGCCGAAAACUCCAACUUUCCAGGCCGAGGCCAGGCAGCAAAAGAUUUCAGGCACAACACACCCAGGGUACCAACCAAACUGACCCUAAAAACGUUUCGAUAGUUUGGGCCUGCAGCGCACUGCUGACAAAAAAAAAAUAGACUAUAGCUCAAAAAAAAAAGACCAGAGACGGGCACAUCUCCUCUGCCUCGGUGUAUGGCAUAGAUGCCACGAAUCCUGCCUGCACGCCGCCUCGGUUCGUUGUUUUUCUUUCAAAAAAGAGCCGACUCUCGACCUCGAUUCCCCGACCUGGACGCCGCCGCCGCUCCCCACCGAUCUCGCCGCCGACAAUCCCUCCUUCAUCUGGCCACUCCCAGGCUCCGCGACCCAUCCAGCUUUGCCCACGAGUGCGUGUUAGACUAUGUAUAACUUCUGUACCUAUGUACGUAUUGUAACACAACCAUUAUAUAUAAUGAGAUAAGCCACCCCUAGAGGGUUGUGCUGGUUCCCAAAACUUAUUGUCUUACAUGGUAUCACGCUAGGUUACGAUCGCUUCCGCUUCUAAACCCUAAUACCCGCACCGCCGCCGCAGCAGCCGCCGCCUUCACCGCCGCCGCCGCGCCACCGAUCGCGCCGCCGCCAUGUCGAGCGCCGCCACCACCGGUUCCACUGCUGCGGGCUUCCUCCCGGCCUCUCUUGCGGCUCUGCUCAACCUCCCGCUCGAUGCCGUCUCCGUUCCGGCUCCGAUCGGGACAAGGAGCAUCGGCUCCGUCUUCUCCACGCCGCCGGCACCCUCGCUCGGGCGUGACCUCGUGGUCCACACCGCGGCGCCGCCGUCCGCUGCGGAUUCCGCAGGCGUCGUCCCGCCGCUCCUGCUGCGAGCGGAUCACACCGCCCCGCUGGCGGGGUUGGCGGNNNNNNNNNNNNNNNNNNNNNNNNNNNNNNNNNNNNNNNNNNNNNNNNNNNNNNNNNNNNNNNNNNNNNNNNNNNNNNNNNNNNNNNNNNNNNNNNNNNNNNNNNNNNNNNNNNNNNNNNNNNNNNNNNNNNNNNNNNNNNNNNNNNNNNNNNNNNNNNNNNNNNNNNNNNNNNNNNNNNNNNNNNNNNNNNNNNNNNNNNNNNNNNNNNNNNNNNNNNNNNNNNNNNNNNNNNNNNNNNNNNNNNNNNNNNNNNNNNNNNNNNNNNNNNNNNNNNNNNNNNNNNNNNNNNNNNNNNNNNNNNNNNNNNNNNNNNNNNNNNNNNNNNNNNNNNNNNNNNNNNNNNNNNNNNNNNNNNNNNNNNNNNNNNNNNNNNNNNNNNNNNNNNNNNNNNNNNNNNNNNNNNNNNNNNNNNNNNNNNNNNNNNNNNNNNNNNNNNNNNNNNNNNNNNNNNNNNNNNNNNNNNNNNNNNNNNNNNNNNNNNNNNNNNNNNNNNNNNNNNNNNNNNNNNNNNNNNNNNNNNNNNNNNNNNNNNNNNNNNNNNNNNNNNNNCUUGAGCGCACCUUUGCAGCGCAGUCCCAGGCUCGUGUCUCUGCACUCCGUCGUCAGCUUGGAGAGUGUCAGAAGCUUGACUCCACGGCCACUGAGUUCUACAACAAGGUCAAGGGCCUUGCCGACACAUUGGCCUCCAUUGGACAGCCCCUCACCGACUCCGAGUUCAACUCGUUUAUUGUCAAUGGUCUUGAUGAGGAGUAUGAUGCCUUAGUCGAGAUCAUCAACGAGCGGGGUAACUCGACACCCAUGUUGGCACACGAGGUUUUCUCUCGGCUUCUUCUCACUGAGCAACGGGUCGAGACUCGCCGCACCAGGGGCACUGGCUCUCUCUCGGCCAACGUCGCCACCAAGGGUGGCCGCUCUUCUUCAUCACCCCGGUCUCCCUUGGGGCUGCCACCGUCGCCCGCCUCGGCCCCCCCACCUACUGCGACCUUACCGGGGGCUGGCGGUCCACGUGUGUGUCAGCUUUGUGGCCGCGAUGGGCACUGGGCCUCCAAAUGUCAUAAGCGCUUCCAGCGAAGCUUCCUUGGUCUUGGCAAUGACGGCAAAGAUACACGCAACAAUGCCCGUCAGGUCGCCAUGGCUGAUCGUCCCGCGCCGCAGAAGCACCAGGGACACACUCAGUCCUACUCCAUCGAUCCACACUGGUACAUAGACUCUGGGGCGACAGAGCAUCUGACCAGCGAGCUGGGGAAGCUUCACACUCGUGAACCCUAUCAUGGCUCCGACAAGAUCCACACCGCCAAUGGAGCAGGUAUGCACAUCUCUCAUAUUGGUCAAGCAUCUCUUCUCACUAGACAUGCCAAUAGGAGUCUUCAGCUUCGCAAUGUUCUUCGCGUUCCAUCUGUGACCCGCAAUCUUCUUUCAGUUCCUAAACUCACACGUGAUAAUAAUGUGCUUUGUGAAUUUCACCCUUUUGAUCUUUUUAUUAAGGAUCGGGGCACGAGGGACAUUCUUCUUAGUGGGCGGUUGUGCCAGGGCCUCUACCGUCUGGAGCAUCCUGGUGUCGCUCGUGUUUUCAGUGGAGUUCGGGUCUCUCCGUCACAGUGGCAUGCUCGUCUUGGUCACCCGGCCACACCUAUUGUCCGUCAUAUUUUGCGUCGUCAUGAGCUUCCUAGUUUGUCUAGUAAUAAAGAUGUAGCAGUGUGUGAUGCUUGUCAGCAGGGGAAGAGUCAUCAACUUCCUUUUUCGGAGUCCAGUCGUGAGGUGAAACAUCCGUUAGAACUUGUGUUUUCAGAUGUAUGGGGUCCUGCUCAGACUUCUGUCAGUGGUCAUAAUUACUAUAUCAGUUUCGUUGAUGCUUAUAGUCGCUUUACCUGGCUUUACCUUAUUAAACGCAAAUCUGAUGUGUUUGAUAUUUUUGUUCAGUUUCAAAAACAUGUUGAACGUCUUCUCAAGCACAAAAUUGUUCAUGUCCAGUCGGACUGGGGGGGCGAGUAUCGCAACCUCAACUCCUUCUUUCAGUCGCUUGGGAUAGCUCAUCGUUUAGCAUGUCCACAUACACAUCAGCAGAAUGGUUCAGUCGAACGUAAGCAUCGUCAUAUUGUUGAAGCUGGUCUUACUCUUUUGGCCCAUGCAUCUGUUCCGUUUUGGUUUUGGAGUGAUGCUUUCACCACUGCAUGCUUUCUCAUCAAUCGUACUCCUACUCGUGUUUUAAACAUGAAGACUCCCAUUGAGGUUCUCCUUAAUGAGCAACCUGAUUAUACCUUUCUCAAGGUAUUUGGGUGUGCUUGCUGGCCGCAUCUUUGUCCAUAUAACAAGCGCAAGCUUGAGUUUCGUUCUAAGAAGUGUGUUUUCCUUGGCUAUAGCUCUCUUCAUAAAGGUUACAAAUGUCUUCAUGUUCCCACUAAUCGUGUCUAUAUAUCUCGGGACGUCGUGUUUGAUGAGCAUGUUUUUCCCUUUGCCAACCUUCCUGUGUCCACUGUCGAACCACCAUCCCUGCAUUCAUCCUCUGUUGCUUCUGACCAAUUUGAUGAUGUUGCAUACUCUCCUUUGCUGUUACCUAACCAUGGUGCAGGAACCGGACGUGGAGCUCGUUUGGAGCUGUUGGAGGAUUCACCAUCAUCAUCGUCGUCUUUUGGUGGGCAUGUUGAUCGCCCUCUGUUGCAUGGCAUCAAUUCGCGUGCCCAUGCAUGGUCACCCGACGAGCCCGUCGCGCCAAGCAUCUCCACUGUUCGGUCUGCUACGCUAGUGAUCGCCGAGUCUCCAGCGGCUCGGCCUUUUUCGCCAGCGGCCGCCGAGUCGCCCGUGGCUCGGCCCGUCACGCCGUCUUCGCCCGCGGCUCGGGUCCUCACGUCGCCUUCAUCAGCGGAUCGGCCCGCGACACCGGCCGCGCCACGGCCCACUAUGCCGAGCUCGCCAUCGGCCCGGUCUGGGAUGCCGGAGUCGCCAGCUGCUUCGUCUGCUCUGCCGAUUUCGCCGGUGGGCCGGCCUUCUUCGCCGACUGAGUCUGAGGCUACCGUGCCUGGCUCCUCGUCACCGGCUGACUCGUCAACGUCGCCGUCCUCCAGCCCGUUGCAGGCUGCUCCGUCGACCUCGGUGGUUCCUGUGUCUCGACCACAUACACGCAGUCGCAGUGGCAUUUUCAAACCUAAGGAACGUACGGAUGGUACGGUUGCUUGGUUGGCUGCUUGUUUGGCUGCUGCUGUUGCGGAUCCAUCUUCUGAGCCUCGCUCAUAUCAGGCUGCCCUGCGCAUUCCACAUUGGCGAGAGGCUAUGGAGCAGGAGUUUUAUGCUCUCCUUCGUAACAAGACAUGGACUCUCGUUCCUCCACCACCACGGGUAAAUGUUAUUGACUCAAAAUGGGUAUUCAAAGUGAAGAAGCAUUCGGAUGGAUCUAUUGAGCGUUACAAAGCGCGACUUGUUGCUCGCGGUUUUCGGCAGCGUCAUGGUCUUGACUAUGAGGACACCUUCAGUCCUGUCGUCAAGCCUACCACUAUUCGGCUUCUUCUCUCCAUUGCUGUUUCUCGUGGUUGGUCCCUUCGUCAACUUGAUGUGCAGAAUGCUUUUCUACAUGGAUUUUUGGAGGAAGAGGUUUAUAUGAAACAGCCGCCUGGUUUCUCUGAUCCUGAUCGUCCUGACUAUAUCUGUCGUCUUUCCAAAGCACUAUAUGGUUUGAAGCAAGCUCCUCGUGCCUGGCAUGCCCGCCUUGCCUCUGCCCUUCGUGCUCAUGGGUUUGUGCCGUCCACUGCAGACACUUCAUUAUUUCUUCUACAGAAGCCAGAAGUCACUAUGUAUCUUUUGGUAUAUGUCGAUGAUAUUAUCCUUGUCAGCUCUUCUUAGUAUGUUGCUGAUGCUCUUGUCUGCUCUCUUGGUGCUGAUUUUGCGGUCAAAGAUCUUGGGAAGCUUCACUACUUUCUUGGAGUUGAGGUCACUUCUCGUGCUACUAGUCUUGUCCUUACGCAGAAGAAGUACUCCUUGGAGUUGUUACAAAAAGCUGGCAUGCUGAAGUGCACACCGACCACCACACCCAUGUCGUCUACCGACAAGAUAACAGCUGUUGAUGGUGAGCUUUUGUCUCUUGCGGAUGCCACAGAGUACAGAAGCAUUGUUGGUGGACUUCAGUACUUGACGAUCACGAGACCAGAUAUCUCUUAUGCUGUUAACAGGGUUUGUCAGUAUCUUCAGGCUCCCAGAGAUACUCAUUGGGCUGCUGUUAAACGCAUUCUUCGUUAUAUUCAGUUCACCCUGACUUUUGGUAUGCAUAUUCGGCCGACUUCCUCUCGGGUCCUUUCGGCCUUCUCUGAUGCAGAUUGGGCUGGUAGCCCAGAUGACAGGCGAUCCACGGGGGGUUAUGCAGUAUUCUUUGGCUCUAAUUUGAUCGCCUGGAGUGCUCGGAAACAGGCUACUGUGUCACGUAGCAGUACUGAAGCUGAGUACAAGGUUGUGGCUAAUGCUACUGCAGAGAUUAUUUGGGUGCAGUCUUUGCUUCAGGAGUUGGGUUUGUCUCAACCACAGCCUCCUAUUCUUUGGUGUGAUAACAUCGGUGCUACAUACCUUUCUGCAAAUCCAGUAUUUCAUGCCCGAACGAAACACAUUGAAGUUGACUAUCACUUUGUACGGGAACGUGUAUCACAGAAGCAACUUCAGAUUAAGUUUAUCUCGUCUAAGGAUCAACUUGCAGAUAUCUUCACUAAGCCUUUACCACUGCCACAGUUUGAGGCUUGUAGGCACAAUCUUACCCUUCUCAGUUCUUUAGAAAGUGGCUAAGAUUGAGGGAGGGUGUUAGACUAUGUAUAACUUCUGUACCUAUGUACGUAUUGUAACACAACCAUUAUAUAUAAUGAGAUAAGCCACCCCUAGAGGGUUGUGCUGGUUCCCAAAACUUAUUGUCUUACAGUGCGCCGCCCCUCCUCUUCGCCAUAGCCAUAAGCUUCGCCACACGUACCUCCCUCCUCUGCUCCGACCAUGGCGAGAUUCUUGAUUCAACCCUUUGUUUGACUCUGUUCGUGUGGAUCAGUUCAUGUGCAUAUGUAAAUGUUAUUUAGGUAUAUAUAACUAUUGAUCUAGCACUUGUGUUUAUUAUUUUUGGUAAAAAUAAGGUUUCUUAAUCUGAUGUAAAUUGGGGUUUUAUGUAGACAUGGAAUUCUAAUUGAAUUUUCUAUUCAGCUUGCAAUUCCAAUAAUUUUAUGUAUUGUAUUUGCAUGUACAUAGGUGGCCACACAACGGCCAGGGGUAUAUGCUUCUCCUACCACUCACGCCUUCAUCCUAUUUGAGCCAGAAUGGCUUUGUUGCCCUCUCUCGCUCAUGGUGAGGCCAUGCACCCUUGCCAUGGUAAUGGCUAUGAAAUCUCAGACCGAGUCGCUUCAGUCAGGCACUAUGCAGGUAUAACUCGCUUUGCUCCAUCAUCACAUGCUUGACGAAAUUUCAGAGAUGGUGGUGAUCUAGCUGUUAUUAGACCAUCCUUGUUACAAAACUUUAUUGGGUUCAAGGGUCUUAAGAAUUGGUAAUUUCUCGAUUGUAUAGCUAGAAAUGUAGUUCUUAAAAGAUUUUGAUGUCAAAUUGUUUAUGGAAUCUCGAGUGAAAAUAUUUUCCUAUUAAAUGAUUAGAUUCUACAACAACCUCUGAUCUAAAUCCUAAAUUACUGUAUCGUGUGCAUGGUUUGCUCACAUCACAAAUUUCUAACAAGAAGAUAGGUCCUGAGUUCAGUUGCAACCAAAACAUUUAACUUCCAGUUCAACAUUGCAUAUAGUUUACCCCCAUUAGACAUUGCAUUUAUCUUCCUGAUUACUUCCAUAACGCUUUCAAAUCUGUGAAGAGAGACUUGAUAGUUUGUUAUUAUGGUUUAAGUUAGAAAUUGUAUUUAUCUUCCUUGAUUAUUCUUCCAUAAGCUAUCAAUUCUGUUAGAAAGACCUUAUUAGUUGUUCAUUCAAUUUAAGUUAUUGUGGGAUGCAUACACCAUGUAUUACUUCUUUUGCACGUACAGUUCUGUUAUAUAUGGAUCUGAUAAUGCUUCCUCACGCUUGAGCCAAUUACCUUACAUAUUAAGGUGACAACUUUAGGUCCAUAUGUGUUCCUGUUGUCUGGGAGUUGGGAUCAAAUGAGUUCGGAGAAAAAAUUUAUGGCAAAAACGGACCCAUUGGUUAGCAGGUUCUUAGUAGGGUACCCUUAUUACUAUGUGGAUCAUUGCAUGGCGCGAGGCAAAGUUGAGUGGAGGCAAAGAAUAGAAGACAUCGUCUUUUUUUAGAUUAAUAAUAGAACACAUAGUCGGUACAUUUCCGGAUGGUGUCGCCGGCGCAGCCGUGGCUCUGUCCUCGGCUCAACCGACAUGGAUGUCCAGACAUGGUGGACAUCUUUCUGUACGGUGUGGUCGGUACUACUCCCUGGUGGAACAGGCUUGAAUCCCUCUUAUUCGUCCCUGGCGGCACUGUUGUUUCUUCUUUUUCUAGGAGUCAAGGUUGUAUUCCUGAGGGGAGCAUACAUAUUAUCUUGAUUGAGUUGACUUUUGGCUACUGUAUUACUGUUACAACUUACCAGCAACAUAGAAAGAGAGUCAUGUCUGAUAAGGUAUUCUACUUCAGUUGUAUGCUUGCAGAGCAUUUGGUUUUUCCAUCCAAGUAUUACUAAACUCUACCAAGUUUUAUAAUGACACAGGAUAUGUACCAAGUAAUGAGUAUGUACUAUGUACAGAAGUUUUGGUUCUUGGUUCUUGCAUGGAGGUGAGCAACAAUGGGCUGCAAACGCGGCUGCCGCCCAUCACCUGCUCGAAUUCAAGCACAACCGUAGGCUGCCUUAAAUGUGGGGAGUUGUCAAAGGUGAUAUCUUUUAGCUCGACCAUUUUAUUGAUUUAGUUUCUAAUAAUUUUGGGUAUCCAAACUUGGAAAGUUUCACCCCUCAAGUUAAAUUGGGAAAGUCCAAAUAUUGGUAUUGUUCUUCCAAUUUUUAAUCACGUUCCUAGAAAUAUAGGUUUAAUGCUGGCUCUGCAAUUUUCCUAUUCAUAUGCAUGAUUUUGAACUGCUCUCUGUGCUCUUUCCUUCUUGCUGAACCAAUGUUUCCUCACGGGGAAGACAGUAACUUUUUUUGUUGCUACAUUUAAUUUUGGUGGUAAAGAUUUUGUGAUCCAGCCUCAUGACGCCUUGAGAAGGCUAAGAUCCGCUAUCGUGCUCUUCUCCAUUGCCGACUAUGACCUUCUGAUGCAUCUGGUCAACUUCGUUGCCAGCAUCAUAUUCAGGCAGAAGCUUUCCUUUACAUUUUAGUUUGCCUGACCUGCCCAGGCACAACUGUCGGUGUGUGUUCUGAGACCUCCUUGCCCUUGAUUGCAUUUGGUUGUUCCAGAGACCUCCCCGCCCUUAAUUGCAUACGGUUGUCAAGGACGCCAAACAAGCACAUAUCUCUCUCUCUCUCUUGCUAGCUAUCUUUUUAAAAUAACAUACACAUUGGAUGACCAGAUGCACAACCACAUAAGUUUUUUUUAUGCACGCUCAUAUGGUCUAGAUUUGAAUGUAAAAUUACAUGGGAAUUCACUGAAGGCUGUAAAAGAGAAAGGAAAAUGUUCAUUAAAUUUUGUCACAUGCAAACUGGAAGAAGGGGCUCAAUAAGCAGAGAAUUCCCCUCAAGAUGUGAACUGCGCUGAUGUCCUCGUUAUGUGUGUUGCUUCUACUGAAUGAUGCUCCAUUGCCGUCGUUGCUAUAAUAUGAUUUAGAGCAUCUCCAGCCGNNNNNNNNNNNNNNNNNNNNNNNNNNNNNNNNNNNNNNNNNNNNNNNNNNNNNNNNNNNNNNNNNNNNNNNNNNNNNNNNNNNNNNNNNNNNNNNNNNNNNNNNNNNNNNNNNNNNNNNNNNNNNNNNNNNNNNNNNNNNNNNNNNNNNNNNNNNNNNNNNNNNNNNNNNNNNNNNNNNNNNNNNNNNNNNNNNNNNNNNNNNNNNNNNNNNNNNNNNNNNNNNNNNNNNNNNNNNNNNNNNNNNNNNNNNNNNNNNNNNNNNNNNNNNNNAUCCAGCCGUCGCCCCCAGGCGUUGAGAUUGGCCCAGUUUUCGGCCCACUUUCGGGAAUAAAGGCCCCAUAUGGGCGAGAAUCGGCCCAUAUUCGGCGUGGUUCGUCAUGGCUCGGCGUUCAAUUAUCAACAUAAUAUUUUUAUCACAUAGUUCAUCACAGAAAAUCAAAUAGUUCAACAAAAUAGUGCAACAACAAAUAGUUCAAUACAAAUUAUAUAGUUCAACAAAUAAAAACUCAUAUUUCAUCACACGUUGAGCCCGGCGUCACCCUUGAGCAUCCAUAGGUGCUCCACCAGAUCCUGCUACAGUUGACGAUGCACCUGUGGGUCUCGGAUCUCCUGACGCAUACUGAGGUAGGCAGUCCAGGUUGCCGGUAGUUGGUGAUCAACUUCGGCUAGAGGACCCUACCUGUAGUAUGGUUCAGUGUCAAACAUUGGCUCUUCCUGCUCGCUCUCGAUAAUCAUGUUGUGCAAGAUGACACAGCAAGUCAUGAUCUCCCACAUUUAAUCUUUCGACCAGGUCUGAGCAGGGUAGCGGACAAUAGCAAAUCGAGAUUGGAGCACACCAAAAGCCCGCUCGACAUCCUUCCUGCAAGCCUCCUGCACCUUGGCAAAGUGGGACUUCUUGCCUCCUAGCACAGCGUUUGAGAUAGUCUUCACAAAUGUAGACCAUCUCGGAUAGAUGCCAUCAGCUAGGUAGUACCCCUUGUUGUAGUGCCGCCCAUUGACCUCGAAGUUCACCGGAGGAGAAUGACCUUCAACAAGCUUGGCAAAGAUAGGGGAGCAUUGCAGCAUGUUGAUGUCAUUGUGAGUUCCUGGCAUACCAAAGGAGUGUCAGAUCCAGAGGUCCUGUGUGGCCACCGCCUCAAGUACCACACUGCAACCGCCUUUGGCGCCUUUGUACAUCCCCUGCCAAGCAAACGGGCAGUUCUUCCAUUUCCAACGCAUGCAAUUGAUGCUUCCAAGCAUCCCAGGAAAUCCUCUUUCUGCAUUCCGUGCUAGGAUCCGAGCAGUGUCUUCCGCAUUGGGUGUUCGCAAGUAUUGCGGUCCAAACACUGCCACCACUGCCCGACAGAACUUGUAGAAACACUCAAUGGUGGUGGACUCGGCCAUGCGCUCAUAGUCGUCGAGUGAAUCAUCGGGAGCUCCGUAUGCAAGCAUCCUCAUCGCUGUCGUGCACUUCUGGAUCGAGGUGAAUCCAAGUUUGCCGGUGCAAUCCUUCUUGCACUUGAAGUAGCUGUCGAACUCCCGAAUGGAAUUCACAAUCCUGAGGAAAAGCUUUCAGCUCAUCCGAUAACGGCGCCGAAAUGUUUUGUCGCCGUGCAGUGGAGCGUCGGCGAAGUAGUCGGAGUAGAGCAUGCCGUAGCCUUCGAGACGAUGUCGGUUCUUUGCUUUCAUCCGCCCCGGCGCCGAGCCACCUCGCCGCGGCUUUUCAUUGCUCAUCAGCAGGGCGGCGAGGGUGGCGAGGACCAUGAGAUGUUCCUCUUCCUGGACGUCGGCCUCGGCUUCCUCCUCCAGCAGCGCGGCGAGCGCUUCCUCGUCGUCCGAGUCCAUCGCCGAGGCAGGCAAAACGCCGAACACCUUGCGCCCGGUGGGCGCGUACCCACCGCCAAACUGCCCCUCCGCGGCCGGAAACAGCGUGAAAAACGCCCAGCUGCUGGUGGAGGGGCUGCCUCGGCGAACCUUUGCUCUUUUUUCGGCGGGGAUUGGCUAUCUAGCGGUGAAGGGCGGUGGGCGGUGCCGGGAUACAGCUGUUGGCGGCCGAGCGCGCGGGGGGUGGGAGGCGAGUCGGGGAAGAAAAACUUGACUUUUUGCCUGACGGUGUGGGCCAGCCGUGCUUUUCCCUUGUGCCGGAGCCCCCGAGCCGGGUUCGGCUUGCGAUCGCCGGGCCCAAAAACGGGCCGAACCGGCGGAUUUCGACGUCCUGGGGGCGCGACUGGGCCGUUUUUUUUGGCGCCGGCGCCGAAAAAGUGGCCUGGGGGGCCUGUUGGGGGCGCGGCUGGAGAUGCUCUUAGUAUAGCUUGUCUGAAUGGGUUAGAAGAGGGGUGAUGAACUGUUUUGUGGGCAUUCAUGUACGUUUAGUUUCAUUAUCAUCUGAGGUGUGAACUUGCUUCAAACAGUCAAUUUGCCUUCCUGCUACAAAAUUUCUCUGCAGCGGUGGUUGUAUUAGAAACAUCUCCUUCCAAAGAGUAAAUGUUUUCACACCAAAUAUUUAUGGUUUGUUGGAUAAGUGAUGCAAUGAGUAGCACUGUAGUCUUUGAUGGAGAUUUAUACUGAAAGACACUUGGUGUACUCUAAAUAUUUUUGUUUACCUCCAAGAUUGUUGGCUUGUCGCCCUCAAACUAAAAAGUAAAUAAUUAUUCCUCUCUGUCCAGGAUGAUGGUCUACUGCCAAAGGAGUUGGCAAGAUAACUGCACAUUUAACACCCGCACUGUCCGAACAAGUUCUAUCAACAAUUUUGUAGCAUUUUUCUCCAGGUGAGGUCCAUUUAUGACAUAUACACUUCAAAGCACCCUUUGUUUGUUUGAAGAGUUUCACAGCUUCCUCUUCCAGCUUUAAAAAUUGCAGCUUUUCUUAGGUAGUGAAUUACUUAUGAAGUAAUUAAGUUGUGCAUUCUGAAUACCGAAGGUGAUGGUUCUAGGCAUAGAGGCAUCUUGGCUUUGACUGAACUUGCUCAGAGGGGGUUGCUCCUCCCGUUAUAACUAAGGGUACAUAAUAUAACAAUAUUUUUCUGACACUAACUUUCAUCGUGGGUGCAAUGAUUAUUAGAUUAUAAUCAUAGACUACGCACGAUGAUCAUUUACGUUCCUAAAUUUUCUUCCUCUUUCAUGCUGGCAGGGAAAUAUCGCCAUUAAUUUACGAGCUAGAAGGAGUUCACAGAAUUUUGUCAACAUCAUUGAUGAAGAUAUAAUUUUUCAUAUUUGUUUUUAGACAAGAAAGAACCAUAGAGAAUCUUAACCCUUGUACUUUAGCAGUACCUAGAGUAAACCCCCUCAAAUUUAACAGAAGAUGGAAAUGAAUGGUUGUUUUUGUUGCACGUUACUCCAAGAAGAAGUGCAUCAUCAAACUAGAUGUUGUAUAUUAUCCGUCCAUAAUAUGGUUGCUUGUGUAUCCUGCGACUUGGUUCAUCCAGGAGAUGUAUGUGUGCAUGCUUGCACGGCAGAGCACAAAACUAUAAUUUUGAAGGAAGGUACAUUAAGUCACGCGCAUGGACAGUGUUGCCAUCUAUAAUGCCUUACAUGUGUGAGCUCCAUUGGGACAAUUUGAUUAGUGUGUCACAAGACUGCAAUUUCUAAUUUACAAAUUCUGUAGUUACUUUAGUGCUUUACAUAAUGCAUAGAUUUUUCAUAUAGAAUGAAGUGAAUCUAUAACCUGAUUUUGCUUUAUUAUUUAGUUCCAGUUCACUUUGUAAAUCCCAGUUCUCCAGUAUUGUAUUCUCUGUGUUAAAUCAUCAAACUAAACAGACCUUUCUCUUUGGACAGCUUCCAAUUUGUAAUAUUAUGAUUUUUUUUUUCAGAAACCACUUCAACUAGCCCAGGGCUAUAUCUAUUAGUCCUCCAGUAUUUGUUGGAAUGAGAGAACACAUUUUAUGCCAGGUAAAAGGCUACUGAAGCACGGAGAUUUUUGUAAUUUCUUGGAAAGAUUAAGCCAAUGGACCCAGGAUGCAUGCUUCAAGUGUCUACAGAUUACAGGAAACAUGUUUCUUCAAGUGCCUACAUGCUACAGGAAGUAAAGCUUCUUAUAGUAGUCAUCAAACCUAGAUACCAAUUUAUUGGAAUUAUUAUAUUUUUUAUAAAAGUACUCAAACCUGGAUAUCAAUUUAUCGGAUCCAUUAAGGAGAGGUGACACUCUUGGAGAGUCAAGUAAUGCAAUAUAUUCUCUCUCUGCCAGAACCAAACUGUACCAGCACCAACGAACGCCUUUGUGCUAGGAAUAAAUAGGAUGAAUAAAUCUCUACCAGCACCAACAUUGACAGCUUGUUUGUUCACACGUAGCAAUGUUUUGCAUUAAACUGAACCAUGCCAAUACAUAAAACUUCAACAUGAGACUUUGUAAAAAGUUAAUCUUUGCAAUACGACAAAGGUUCACAACAUCAAAUGAUCACAGUCUAGCCAAGGUUACAUAAAAACUGAAUCUUUGCAUUAUUAGCACCACCCAACAAAGAUUUUCAUUGCUCAAGGAUCUUCCUCUGUCCGUUCAGCAUCACACUUCACCCAAUAUUUCCUGCAAAAUAUGAUGAGAAAUGGUGACAUAUGGUCUCAUAGGGCACAAUGGUUGUACAAAUUGCUCAAAGUGAAUACAUAACUGAAUCUUUGCAUUAUUAGCACCACCCAACAAAGAUUUUCAUUGCUCAAGGAUCUUCCUCUGUCCGUUCAGCAUCACACUUCACCCAAUAUUUCCUGCAAAAUAUGAUGAGAAAUGGUGACAUAUGGUCUCAUAGGGCACAAUGGUUGUACAAAUUGCUCAAAGUGAAAGAUGUGACAGCCAAUAAGACAAAUCAAAGUGUGACACGAUAAGCUUUAGCUUGCAACAAUCUUUACAAAGGGUAAAAAAAAUACCUCAACUUGAUAUAGAAGUUGCUCAAAGGUUAACUUGCACUUCAUUUGCACAAUUAUCAUGAAUCGAAAGGUAGUGGCGACAAACCAGCAACAACCGAGUAGGUUAAGUAGGACCAAAACUAAGUCGAUAAGAGACUACAUAUUAAAACAGAGGAUAUAUAUAGGAAAAUGGGUUGGUACACCUAGGAGUACAUACUCCUAUGUCAUGUGUCAUUUCUUUUUUUAUUUUCCACUGUUGUUUAUUGUGCCAUCGCAACAAACCUCCUUAGCAUUUAGUUAGUUGAUUAGGUGCUAAUCAGAAGUGGUCCCGUGGAGUUUGAAAGUUUGUUCCAUACUAAUAGGGAUAAGGCACAUUCAGAUUCAAAUCUUGUUAGCACCGCAUUAACAUGCAUCGUUCUUCUUUCAUUAAAAUCAAUCCACCUACUGAUUAGGGCUUGGAGACAAGACGCAGCCGGCAGCCGCUUGUUGACUCGACGACGAGGCACAUUAGAUGUGGUUGGCGCAACUCAAACUUGAAGAUGAGAAGAUGAGAUGCUGCCGACAAUCUAACUCGUCAAGGUGCAUCAUUUAUUCAAUAUUAUUUCUGGUCUACGAACUUCAGAUUGAGCUGCAAAAGCAUGCAUCAACCACUCUUUCCGUGACUAAUUCAUUGCUUGCUCAGGUAGGCAUCUAGUUGGCUGUACCCCUUAUCUAAGCUCUAUGCAUGCAGGUAGAAUUUCCCAAGGUGUCAUCUGGAGGCCAUGGAUAGCAUGGCGUGGAGUGCCUGCGAUUUCGAUGCGUUGGACUCCUAACAUCAUGCUGCCCACCGUGCGUGUGCUUGCCGGCGACAAACAGAACAACAACAAGAAGAUGCUUUUGCAGUGAAGAACAAAUGAAUGUAGACUAGAUAUCCACUCCAGAAUGCAUAUGUAAUACGUGCAUGCUUAUCAUACAUUUCUCUAUGGAUGUAUCAAAUUUAGUGAAUAUACUUCAAUUUCAGCAGAGUAUAUACUUCAUUCAAGUGGAUAUACUUCAAAUCAAUUUCAGCAGAGAGUAUGCAUCAUUCGUAUGAACAACUGAAUAUACUGCUAUAUCAGCUGGGUAUAUCCUUUUUUUGGUCGAGAAGUAUAUACUCCAAUAAAAAAAAGUAUAUACUCUCCAAUUAAAAAAUUAAGUACAAACUCCUAAACCCUUGGCCACAGUACUCCAAUUAAAAUUUAAAUAUUUAGUAUAUACUCUUCUCGCUAGUACUAGAUACUCAUUGAUCGCAAUGCUAAUUGCACAAGAAAGCAACUAAAAAAUUGCACAAGAAAACCGUAUACUUUUGUUAUAAGCAGUAUAUACCGGUCUAAAAAUAUAUACAUCACAAAAUAGUAUAUAAUCCUACUUUUUUUGAAGUAUAUACUCCUAUGAAGAAACGACUGUAUAUACUUCUUUUUGUGGUAGGUUGUUCUUUGAUCGGAGAGUAGUAUAUAUGUCGCAUAUACUGCAAAAUAGUGCUUCCAGCACACAUUGAUAGGGAACAAGAAUUAGUUAUUCCUCAUGUAUGAAUGAUGCUCAAAGCAUUCAUUGUUAAUCUAGGACUCCCGACUGAUGUUCUUGAAUUACAACUCUACACAUGGCCUACAAGCAGUCACCCAGUCACUUAGCUAAUCCAAACAGAGCAAAAUUAUCCGAAGAACCUGUCUAGAUCUUAUGGAGCAAUAUAUUGCAGCAAUCAAAGGAAAUAACAACCUAGUCCAUAUGACAAUGUUGUGACAAUAUAUCCAAGCAAAUAUAUUGCAGCAACCAACUGAAGAACCACUCUGAUUGAAAGAGGCGAAGCAUACCCUGCUUGCUCCCAGACCAAGAGCCCCGGUGCCUCUUGCUCCUUAGUCCUCCGGGGGUGGAGUUGACCUACCGUGGGCUGCCCAGAUCGGGUGGCUGGAGUGAGGCGUCCUGCUGAACAGGUGGGUUCAGGUUAGGGUUAGGGUUCAAGAAGAAAAACGCAUCAGAGAGAGGGAGGGGGGAGAAGAGAGGUGGGGAAGGGAGCGAGAGGAGAAGCCUUACCGGUGGCGAGAGGGACAGGUAACCAAGACGUCGGAGUGUCCUUGCGACCUUGCCGGAGAGGGACAGUACGGGGCGGAGAUGGACCGGGACCGGGACGGGACGGGGCGGGGUGGAGGAUAGGGUGGGUGGCGGCGGGGUGGAGGAGAGGGAUCGAGAGAGACAGAGAGCUGCGUCGGGCCUCCAAAUCCAGACAAAUGAGGGCAUCUCCGGCCGUUGGCCCUCCAGGAAGGGCAAAAAAUCGCCCCUGGAGGCGCACCGGCGCUAAGCCCCG
This 17914-nucleotide long non-coding RNA is filed under the name Triticum aestivum (bread wheat). RNAcentral's name for it is "long non-coding RNA (TAES_LNC014671)". The record is from RNAcentral. Lineage: Eukaryota; Viridiplantae; Streptophyta; Magnoliopsida; Poales; Poaceae.